Molecule: long non-coding RNA, 333 nt
Organism: Juglans microcarpa x Juglans regia
Lineage: Eukaryota; Viridiplantae; Streptophyta; Magnoliopsida; Fagales; Juglandaceae
Exons: 3
Source: RefSeq, a predicted model, not a curated record
AUCAUGAAUCUCUCCAAAAUAUUCUGGCAAGGCAAUACGGUAAGCAACAGGUCCAACCUUUUCUAGAAUCUUAAAAGGACCUACAUACCUCGGGCUAAGUUUCCCUUUCUUACCAAAACGUUUAAAGCCUUUCAUUGGAGAAACUUUGAGGUAUACCCAAUCACCUUCCUCAAAUAAUAGAUCUCUUCUCCUCGUAACCAAUCGAAGCAGCAACAGGGUCAAUAAACUCCCGCUCUGCAAUCGUAGCAACCUCCACUAACUGCUGAAAGGUUGGAAUUUGCAAACACGCAACCUAUCUACGGAUCUCUCGCCAUAGACCCUCAUGAAAUCGCU